CCAGACUCCUACGGGAGGCAGCAGUGAGGAAUAUUGGUCAAUGGGCGUAAGCCUGAACCAGCCAAGUCGCGUGAGGGACGACGGCCCUACGGGUUGAAAACCUCUUUUGCCGGGGGACAAACGGCGGCACGCGUGCCGUCCUGAGGGUACCCGGAGAAAAAGCAUCGGCUAACUCCGUGCCAGCAGCCGCGGUAAUACGGAGGAUGCGAGCGUUAUCCGGAUUUAUUGGGUUUAAAGGGUGCGUAGGCGGGGCGUUAGGCCGGGGGUAAAAUGGGGGGCCACACCCCCUCCCCGCCAUUGAAACUGGCGCUCUUGAGUGGAAGAGAAGUAUGCGGAAUGCGUGGUGUAGCGGUGAAAUGCAUAGAUAUCACGCAGAACCCCGAUUGCGAAGGCAGCAUGCCGGCUUCCGACUGACGCUGAAGCACGAAAGCGUGGGGAUCGAACAGGAUUAGAUACCCCCGUAG
Molecule: ribosomal RNA, 464 nt
Filed under: uncultured bacterium
Lineage: Bacteria
Description: bacterial SSU rRNA
Rfam family: Bacterial small subunit ribosomal RNA
Source: RNAcentral